RNAcentral lists this ribosomal RNA (429 nucleotides) under Babesia odocoilei. RNAcentral's name for it is "SSU rRNA". It matches the Rfam family "Eukaryotic small subunit ribosomal RNA", at positions 558 to 1038 of the family's 1831-position model. Lineage: Eukaryota; Apicomplexa; Aconoidasida; Piroplasmida; Babesiidae. The record is from RNAcentral.
AGUCUGGUGCCAGCAGCCGCGGUAAUUCCAGCUCCAAUAGCGUAUAUUAAACUUGUUGCAGUUAAAAAGCUCGUAGUUGAAUUUCUGCGUCACCGUAUUUUGACUUUUGUCGACUGUCGGUUUCGCUUUUGGGAUUUAUCCCUUUUUACUUUGAGAAAAUUAGAGUGUUUCAAGCAGACUUUUGUCUUGAAUACUUCAGCAUGGAAUAAUAGAGUAGGACUUUGGUUCUAUUUUGUUGGUUUGUGAACCUUAGUAAUGGUUAAUAGGAACGGUUGGGGGCAUUCGUAUUUAACUGUCAGAGGUGAAAUUCUUAGAUUUGUUAAAGACGAACUACUGCGAAAGCAUUUGCCAAGGACGUUUUCAUUAAUCAAGAACGAAAGUUAGGGGAUCGAAGACGAUCAGAUACCGUCGUAGUCCUAACCAUAAACA